Molecule: ribosomal RNA, 502 nt
Filed under: uncultured bacterium
Lineage: Bacteria
Description: partial 16S ribosomal RNA
Rfam family: Bacterial small subunit ribosomal RNA
Source: RNAcentral
GACGAACGCUGGCGGCGUGCUUAACACAUGCAAGUCGAACGGUGAAGGGGUCUGCUUUUGUGGGCCCUGGAUGAGUGGCGAACGGGUGAGUAACACGUGAGUAACCUGCCCCCUUCUUCUGGAUAACCGCAUGAAAGUGUGGCUAAUACGGGAUAUUCUGGGUCUGUCGCAUGAUGGGUCUGGGAAAGAUUGCGCCUUUGGGUGUUUUUGGUGGGGGAUGGGCUCGCGGCCUAUCAGCUUGUUGGUGGGGUGAUGGCCUACCAAGGCGGUGACGGGUAGCCGGCCUGAGAGGGUGGACGGUCACACUGGGACUGAGACACGGCCCAGACUCCUACGGGAGGCAGCAGUGGGGAAGAUUGCACAAUGGGCGCAAGCCUGAUGCAGCGACGCCGCGUGAGGGAUGGAGGCCUUCGGGGUGUAAACCUCUUUCGCCAGUGAAGCAGGCCUGCUCCUUGUGGGUGGGUUGACGGUAGCUGGAUAAGAAGCGCCGGCUAACUACGUG